CCCUUAGAUGUUCUGGGCCGCACGCGCGCUACACUGAUGCAUUCAACGAGUUUCUUCCUGGUCCGAGAGGAAUGGGUAACCUUUUGAAAGUGCAUCGUGAUAGGGAUAGACUAUUGCAAUUAUUGGUCUUCAACGAGGAAUUCCUAGUAGACGUAGUUCAUCAGACUGCAUGGAUUACGUCCCUGCCCUUUGUACACACCGCCCGUCGCUCCUACCGAUUGGGUGUGCUGGUGAAAUGUUCGGAUCGGCCGUUUGUCGCGGUUUCCGCGUCAUGUGGCUGAGAAGUUCAUUAAACCCUCCCACCUAGAGGAAGGAGAAGUCGUAACA
This 327-nucleotide ribosomal RNA is filed under the name uncultured eukaryote. RNAcentral's name for it is "partial 18S ribosomal RNA". It matches the Rfam family "Eukaryotic small subunit ribosomal RNA", at positions 1470 to 1796 of the family's 1831-position model. The record is from RNAcentral.